GUUGUAUGGUUAAGUGACUAAGCGUACACGGUGGAUGCCUGGGCAGUCAGAGGCGAUGAAGGACGUACUAACUUGCGAUAAGCGCAGAUAAGGCAGUAAGAGCCGUUUGAGUCUGCGAUUUCCGAAUGGGGAAACCCAACUGCAUAAGCAGUUACUGUUAACUGAAUACAUAGGUUAACAGAGCAAACCGGGGGAACUGAAACAUCUAAGUACCCCGAGGAGAAGAAAUCAACCGAGAUUCCGGUAGUAGCGGCG
Molecule: ribosomal RNA, 255 nt
Filed under: Vibrio cholerae
Lineage: Bacteria; Pseudomonadati; Pseudomonadota; Gammaproteobacteria; Vibrionales; Vibrionaceae
Description: partial 23S ribosomal RNA
Rfam family: Bacterial large subunit ribosomal RNA
Source: RNAcentral